Molecule: ribosomal RNA, 862 nt
Filed under: uncultured Gammaproteobacteria bacterium
Lineage: Bacteria; Pseudomonadati; Pseudomonadota; Gammaproteobacteria
Description: bacterial SSU rRNA
Rfam family: Bacterial small subunit ribosomal RNA
Source: RNAcentral
GACGCUGGCGGUAGGCUUAACACAUGCAAGUCGUGCGAGAAAGUAUCUUCGGAUAUGAGUAGAGCGGCGGACGGGUGAGUAACGCGUAGGAAUCUACCUAGUAGAAGGGGAUAGCCCGAGGAAACUCGGAUUAAUACCGUAUACCUCCUUAGGGAGAAAGAGGGCCUCUCUUGAUGCUCUCGCUAUUAGAUGAGCCUGCGUAAGAUUAGCUUGUUGGUGAGGUAAUGGCUCACCAAGGCUACGAUCUUUAGCUGGUCUGAGAGGACGAUCAGCCACAUUGGGACUGAGACACGGCCCAGACUCCUACGGGAGGCAGCAGUGGGGAAUAUUGGACAAUGGGCGCAAGCCUGAUCCAGCCAUACCGCGUGUGUGAAGAAGGCCUUCGGGUUGUAAAGCACUUUAAGCAGGGAGAAAAAGUUAUAAGUUAAUACCUUAUAACCGUGAUGUUACCUGCAGAAUAAGCACCGGCUAAUUCCGUGCCAGCAGCCGCGGUAAUACGGAAGGUGCAAGCGUUAAUCGGAAUUACUGGGCGUAAAGCGCGCGUAGGUGGUUUGUUAAGUUGGAUGUGAAAGCCCUGGGCUCAACCUAGGAACUGCAUCCAAAACUAACUCACUAGAGUACGAUAGAGGGAGGUAGAAUUCAUAGUGUAGCGGUGGAAUGCGUAGAUAUUAUGAAGAAUACCGGUGGCGAAGGCGGCCUCCUGGAUCUGUACUGACACUGAGGUGCGAAAGCGUGGGUAGCGAACAGGAUUAGAUACCCUGGUAGUCCACGCCGUAAACGAUGACAACUAGCUGUUGGGAGACAAUGUCUUUCAGUGGCGCAGCUAACGUUUUAAGUUGUCCGCCUGGGGAGUACGGCCGCA